CUCUGGUUUGGUCAGCGGCGGACGGGUGCCUAACACGUGGGCAACCUGCCCGCAAGACCGGGAUAACUCCGGGAAACCGGAGCUAAUACCGGAUAACACCGAAGACCGCAUGGUCUUUGGUUGAAAGGCGGCCUUUGGCUGUCACUUGCGGAUGGGCCCGCGGCGCAUUAGCUAGUUGGUGAGGUAACGGCUCACCAAGGCGACGAUGCGUAGCCGGCCUGAGAGGGUGACCGGCCACACUGGGACUGAAACACGGCCCAAACUCCUACGGGAGGCAGCAGUAGGGAAUCUUCCGCAAUGGGCGAAAGCCUGACGGAGCGACGCCGCGUGAGCGAAGAAGGCCUUCGGGUCGUAAAGCUCUGUUGUGAGGGACGAAGGAGCGCCGUUCGAAGAGGGCGGCGCGGUGACGGUACCUCACGAGGAAGCCCCGGCUAACUACGUGCCAGCAGCCGCGGUAAUACGUAGGGGGCGAGCGUUGUCCGGAAUUAUUGGGCGUAAAGCGCGCGCAGGCGGUUCCUUAAGUCUGAUGUGAAAGCCCACGGCUCAACCGUGGAGGGUCAUUGGAAACUGGGGGACUUGAGUGCAGGAGAGGAGAGCGGAAUUCCACGUGUAGCGGUGAAAUGCGUAGAGAUGUGGAGGAACACCAGUGGCGAAAGCGGCUCUCUGGCCUGCAACUGACGCUGAGGCGCGAAAGCGUGGGGGAGCAAACAGGAUUAGAUACCCUGGUAGUCCACGCCGUACACGAUGAGUGCUAGUGUUAGAGGGGUCACACCCUUUAGUGCUGCAGCUACGCGAUAGCACUCGCCUGGGGGAGUACGGCCGCAAGGCUGAACUCAAGGAAUUGACUGGGGCCGCACAGCCGGUGGAGCAUGUGCGUUANUCGAGCACGCGAGACCUAAC
RNAcentral lists this ribosomal RNA (900 nucleotides) under Bacillus sp. SP47. RNAcentral's name for it is "bacterial SSU rRNA". It matches the Rfam family "Bacterial small subunit ribosomal RNA", at positions 81 to 974 of the family's 1533-position model. The record is from RNAcentral. Lineage: Bacteria; Bacillati; Bacillota; Bacilli; Caryophanales; Bacillaceae.